GUCAGGGUAGCUCAGCUGGUUAGAGCGCUGGUCUCAUAAGCCGGAGGUCGAGAGUUCAAGUCUCUCUCCUGACACCA
RNAcentral lists this transfer RNA (77 nucleotides) under Arcobacter sp. RNAcentral's name for it is "tRNA-Met". It matches the Rfam family "tRNA". Rfam says of the family: Transfer RNA (tRNA) molecules are approximately 80 nucleotides in length. Their secondary structure includes four short double-helical elements and three loops (D, anti-codon, and T loops). Further hydrogen bonds mediate the characteristic L-shaped molecular structure. tRNAs have two regions of fundamental functional importance: the anti-codon, which is responsible for specific mRNA codon recognition, and the 3' end, to which the tRNAs corresponding amino acid is attached (by aminoacyl-tRNA synthetases). tRNAs cope with the degeneracy of the genetic code in two manners: having more than one tRNA (with a specific anti-codon) for a particular amino acid; and 'wobble' base-pairing, i.e. permitting non-standard base-pairing at the 3rd anti-codon position. The record is from RNAcentral. Lineage: Bacteria; Pseudomonadati; Campylobacterota; Epsilonproteobacteria; Campylobacterales; Arcobacteraceae. RNAcentral also lists the same sequence under 2 other names.